Molecule: ribosomal RNA, 505 nt
Filed under: uncultured bacterium
Lineage: Bacteria
Description: partial 16S ribosomal RNA
Rfam family: Bacterial small subunit ribosomal RNA
Source: RNAcentral
GACGAACGCUGGCGGCGUGCCUAAUACAUGCAAGUAGAACGCACAGUUUAUACCGUAGCUUGCUACACCAUAGACUGUGAGUUGCGAACGGGUGAGUAACGCGUAGGUAACCUGCCUGGUAGCGGGGGAUAACUAUUGGAAACGAUAGCUAAUACCGCAUAAUAUUAAUUAUUGCAUGAUAAUUAAUUGAAAGGUGCAAUUGCACCACUACCAGAUGGACCUGCGUUGUAUUAGCUAGUAGGUGAGGUAACGGCUCACCUAGGCGACGAUACAUAGCCGACCUGAGAGGGUGAACGGCCACACUGGGACUGAGACACGGCCCAGACUCCUACGGGAGGCAGCAGUAGGGAAUCUUCGGCAAUGGACGAAAGUCUGACCGAGCAACGCCGCGUGAGUGAAGAAGGGUUUCGGAUCGUAAAGCUCUGUUGUAAGAGAAGAACGGGUGUGAGAGUGGAAAGUUCACACUGUGACGGUAUCUUACCAGAAAGGGACGGCUAACUACGUG